Molecule: ribosomal RNA, 253 nt
Filed under: uncultured prokaryote
Description: partial 16S ribosomal RNA
Rfam family: Bacterial small subunit ribosomal RNA
Source: RNAcentral
AUACGUAGGGUGCAAGCGUUAAUCGGAAUUACUGGGCGUAAAGCGUGCGCAGGCGGUCUGCUAAGAGAGAUGUGAAAUCCCCGGGCUUAACCUGGGAACUGCGUUUCUAACUGGCAGGCUUGAGUGUGGCAGAGGGGGGUGGAAUUCCACGUGUAGCAGUGAAAUGCGUAGAGAUGUGGAGGAACACCGAUGGCGAAGGCAGCCCCCUGGGCUAACACUGACGCUCAUGCACGAAAGCGUGGGGAGCAAACAG